This 1444-nucleotide long non-coding RNA is filed under the name Homo sapiens (human). Its description in RNAcentral is "HSALNT0375601". Lineage: Eukaryota; Metazoa; Chordata; Mammalia; Primates; Hominidae. The record is from RNAcentral.
AAAUAUAUCUUAUGGUGAAAAUGCCCGGAGCAAGAAGGCAAAGCAUCAUGAAGAGGAUAUUGGGAGCUCUGCUGGGGCUCUUGAGUGCCCAGGUUUGCUGUGAGUUGGGGCUGUCCAAGGUGGGAAUCUGAAAGGAUUUAGCAGCUGCAGCCUUGUUGAGGGGAGGAAGGGCAAGGAGUUAAAAAGUCAUGCAGUCUUUCUAUUCACACAACCUGUGGGGGCAUUUUCAGGAUUCUUCAGAUGUUAAACUGCCCAUCACCUAUGACUUUUUCUCCAUUUCUGACCAGGUGUGAGAGGAAUACAAGUGGAGCAGAGUCCUCCAGACCUGAUUCUCCAGGAGGGAGCCAAUUCCACGCUGCGGUGCAAUUUUUCUGACUCUGUGAACAAUUUGCAGUGGUUUCAUCAAAACCCUUGGGGACAGCUCAUCAACCUGUUUUACAUUCCCUCAGGGACAAAACAGAAUGGAAGAUUAAGCGCCACGACUGUCGCUACGGAACGCUACAGCUUAUUGUACAUUUCCUCUUCCCAGACCACAGACUCAGGCGUUUAUUUCUGUGCUGUGGAGCCACAGUGCUCCCCAGGCACCUGCGGCCUGUACACAAACCCUCAUCCGGGCUCGGUUCCUCUACCAGUAACAACCACAUCACGAGGCCACCGCAGCAGCAUUUUGCACAGCUUAAUAUUCCUUUUGUACAUAGGUAGAGUUUUAACCGUAGAUUCUUUUUGGCUCUACAGGUUUGAGACUUUGGUCUUUAUUUUCCCUUUUCAAUACACACCUCCUCCUACCCUAUAAAUAUCUAACUUGGAAGGAGUAGAGUAGCUGAUAAGAGGACAGAAUCAAAAUAAAUAUUUAAGUGACAGUAUGCAGGACUCCAAAAGGGUAAAAAGUAAAAAGAAUAAAAAGAAAAGAAACACCAUUCCAAUAAGCAUGUUGUUAGACAUUAGUUAGACAGUGAUCCAGCUUAGUUGUGUGUCUCAAGCACAUUCAGGUCUACCUCACCACAUUAUGUACCAACAGACAAGGGCAAAUAUUUGCAUACUAUCCCACUAGUGCAGCAAAGUAAAAUUUCUUUAAAUAUUCACAUAUUGAUAAAUAGCUGUGGAGAAAAAACUUUAAAAUGUUAUGUUCCCAUAUGUGUUUUUCAGGCUUGUUGUAUAACCUAGAAUAUGAUCUAUCCUGGAAAAUAUAACCAUGCAUGAUUGAGAAGAAUGUGUAAUCUGAUCUUGGGUAGAUAGAUGUCUGUUAGGUCUACCUGGCUUUUGUGUUGUUCAAGUCUUCUAUUUCCUUGUUGGUAUUCUAUUUGUCCUAUCUAUUAUUGAAAGUGAGGUAUUGAGUCUUCACCUGUUAUUCUUGAAUUUUCUGUUUUUCCCUUCAAUUCUGUCAGUUUUUGUGCAUCAUGUAUUUUGGGAUAUGUCAUUAGGUGCAUAUAUGUUUAUAACUGAU